CAACUAAAGAUCAUACACGUUGCAUGACAAUGCACCUUCUAUCUUUAAUCAGUUUUGUGAUAUUAUUCAUUUAAUAAUCCGCAAUUUAAAAAUAUUUUUACAUUAUUAAACUUUUUUUUUUACAUAGAGAACAUUUUUGUGAUUUGGGCAAAACAAUUUACUUAAACAGCGAUUCCAAAAGGCAAAAAACAUUGCUAUAGAAAAAAAUACAGUAUGGACAAAAAAUGUUAAAUAUUGAUUAGUGAAUAAUACAUUGAGGUGCACAGCAUACGUUCCCACCUGUAUUGUCUUAUAUCAGUUGCAUCAGUUGGUUGAAAACUUGUCAUACAACAGGUUUUGGCAGCUUUCUCUUUCUGAACUUUUCACAAUGACCAAGCAACUCUUAUCCCUUUAGAAUCUUGUGAUAGACGGCUGGUUAUUUGUUUUGGACGUAGUUCCCACCCUCUCAGGACUUAAGCCUUUAUGUGUUUAGGGUGUGUUCACUUUGCAUUAAUAUGAGACAGUUUGUCACCAUGAAUCAGCAAAUCUGAUCUUUUUAAUGCUAACUUGUGCUGGACGGUAUCGCCGUGUGUCACUAAUGGGACAAAUAAUAGUAGGAGUGAAUGGUGGGAUGUAGUGACUGGUGGCCACGAUUUUGUGUUACAAACAUUUUUAUCGUGAAAGAGAAAAAGUAGUAGUGGUUAAAUAAAAUAAAGGUUGUAUUUGAUUUGCAGCUUAACGUAUCAUCCCCUGCAGUAGUAAUUCUUAUUCAUAGACACGCUCAUGGAGAGCUUUAGUGACAGCCAACAAAAAAUGGCAAAGAAAUGUUAAUCCACCUGACACGACACAAAUCGGGCUUCAUUUAAGGGCGACGCGUGUGUUGUUUAGUGAGCGUGGUAUAGCUGCGCACAAACACACACACUCAUAUUGACGCUCAUUAAAAUCUUGAAUUUCAAAAAUAAACAUUAGAUAAUUCGUACUUUGAAAAAUCCCCAAAUUAUGGUCUAAAUGUCAUUUGUUUAAUUUACAUCAAAUGUAUUCUAGCAGUUUAAGUGCUGUCUCGCCUCAGAAUAUCCAACAUCUGUAUCUGUAUGUGCGUGAUCCUUUUAAAGUCCUAAACUCCUGCAGCCCUCCUCAUGAACCUCCGUGACCUCGACAAUCUGGACAAAAUACUGCUUC
Molecule: long non-coding RNA, 1158 nt
Organism: Gasterosteus aculeatus aculeatus (three-spined stickleback)
Lineage: Eukaryota; Metazoa; Chordata; Actinopteri; Perciformes; Gasterosteidae
Source: Ensembl